UACGAAGGGUGCAAGCGUUACUCGGAAUUACUGGGCGUAAAGCGUGCGUAGGCGGUUCGUUAAGUCUGAUGUGAAAGCCCUGGGCUCAACCUGGGAAGUGCAUUCGAAACUUCGUAGCUUGAGUUCUGGAGAGGAAGGCGGAAUUCUCGGUGUAGAGGUGAAAUUCGUAGAUAUUCGGAAGAACACCAGUGGCGAAGGCGGCUCACUGGACCGGCAUUGACGCUGAGGUGCGAAAGCGUGGGGAGCAAACAGG
RNAcentral lists this ribosomal RNA (253 nucleotides) under uncultured bacterium. RNAcentral describes it as "partial 16S ribosomal RNA". It matches the Rfam family "Bacterial small subunit ribosomal RNA", at positions 524 to 776 of the family's 1533-position model. The record is from RNAcentral.